This 358-nucleotide unclassified non-coding RNA is filed under the name Aetokthonos hydrillicola CCALA 1050. RNAcentral describes it as "16S-23S ribosomal RNA intergenic spacer". The record is from RNAcentral. Lineage: Bacteria; Bacillati; Cyanobacteriota; Cyanophyceae; Nostocales; Hapalosiphonaceae.
UUUUAGGGAGACCUAACCCAUCACAAAACCGAAACACACUGGAAUAGGUUCAAGAUGAGGUCACCCAAGGUCGUUCGAGAUUGGUCAAUUGGCUUUCAAACUAUCUUCUGUUCGGAACCCUUCCCAAAAACAAUGGGCAUUGCCUUUAGGCAAAGGUAAUAAAUCCAAAAAUUUAAACCAAUCAGAUCAACUUAUUCAGCAAUCUUGUUGAACUCAGCAAGACUGCUGGAUGAAAGUCCAGACAGAACCUUGAAAAUUGCAUAGCAAGUUGUCAAAUGUAACGAGAUUGCAUUAGCCGUCAGUAAAAAAACUGGUGGUUAAAUGAGUCAAUUGCAGGUAGGCACCAAUGUUUUAAAGU